AGCAAGAGCGGGCAGAGGGGGUCCUCCUCCAAGUCCGGAAAGUGUCAGUCCUUUUUGGGCUCAUUUAGCGGGAUUUUGGGUCAUUUAUGGGGUCAUUUAUGGGGUUUUUGGGUCAUUUAUGAGGUCAUUUAUGGGGUCAUUUAUGGGAUUUGGGGGGUUUUGGGAAGAGCGGCUUCAACAGCAAGAGCGGGCAGAGGGGGUCCUCCUCCAAGUCCGGAAAGUGUCAGUCCUUUUUGGGCUCAUUUAGCGGGAUUUUGGGUCAUUUAGGGGGUUUUGGGGUGGUUUGAUGGGUUUUCAUUGAGUUUCGUUGAGUUUUUGUUGGGUUUCGUUGAGUGUCGUUGGGUUUUUGUUGGGUUUCAUUGAGUUUUGUUGGGUUUUACCGGGGUUCUUGACUCAUCCAAGUCCAGAAAGUGUCAGUUUUGGGGUCAUUUAUGGGGUUUUAGGGUCAUUUAUGGGGUUUUUGGGUCAUUUAUGGGGUCAUUUAUGGGGUUUUGGGGAUUUCAUUGAGUUUCGUUGAGUUUUCGUUGGGUUUCAUUGAGUUCUGUUGGGUUUCGUUGGGUUUUAUUGGGGUCUUGGUCUCUUCUAGAUACAUAAAGUGUGAGUUUUGGGGUCGUUUAUGGGGUUUUUGGGGUCAUUUAUGGGGUUUUUGGGUCAUUUAUGGGAUCAUUUAUGGGGUUUUGGGGAUUUCAUUGAGUUUCGCUGAGUUUUUGUUGGGUUUUUGUUGGGUUUCGUCUUUGCUUUGGGUUCCUUAUGGGGUCUUGGUUGCUUCUAGGUCCAUAAAGUGUCAGUUUUGGGGUCAUUUAUGGGGUUUUGGGGGUUUCAUUGAGUUUCGUUGGGUUUUUGUUGGGUUUCGUUGGGUUUCCUCUUUGGUUUGGGUUCCUUAUGGGGUCUUGGUUGCUUCUAGGUCCAUAAAGUGUGAGUUUUGGGGUCGUUUAUGGGGUUUUUGGGGUCGUUCAUGGGGUUUUUGGGGUCGUUUAUGGGGUUUUUGGAUCAUUUAUGGGGUCAUUUAUGGGGUUUGGGGGUGGUUUGAUGGGUUUUCGUUGGGUUUUUGUUGGGUUUUGGGAAGAGCGGCUUCAACAGCAAGAGCGGGCAGAGGGGGUCCUCCUCCAAGUCCGGAAAGUGUCAGUUCUUUUUGGGCUCAUUUAGCGGGAUUUUGGGUCAUUUAUGGGGUCAUUUAUGGGAUUUGGGGGGUUUUGGGGUGAUUUGAUGGGUUUUCGUUGGGUUUUCAUUGAGUUUUGUUGGGUUUCGCUGGGUUUUAUCGGGGUUCUUGAAUCCUCCAAGUCCGGAAAGUGUCAGUCGUUUUUGGGGUCAUUUAGGGGGAUUUUGGGUCAUUUAGGGGGUCAUUUAUGGGGUUUUUGGGUCAUUUAUGGGGUCAUUUAUGGGGUUUUGGGUGUUUCGUUGGGUUUCGUUGGGGUUCUUGACUCCUCCAAGUCCGGAAAGUGUCAGUCAUUUUUUGGGGUCAUUUAGGGGGUUUUUGGGUCAUUUAUGGGGUCAUUUAUGGGGUUUUUGGGUCAUUUAUGGGGUUUUUGGGGUUUCAUUGAGUUUCGUUGGGUUUUCGUUGUGUUUCAUUGAGUUUUGUUGGUUUUUUGUUUGGUUUCAUUGGGGUUUUUGUUGGGUUUUGGGAAGAGCGGCUUCAACAGCAAGAGCGGGCAGAGGGGGUCCUCCUCCAAGUCCGGAAAGUGUCAGUCCUUUUUGGGCUCAUUUAGGGGGAUUUUGGGUCAUUUAUGGGGUCAUUUAUGGGGUUUUUGGGUCAUUUAUGGGGUCAUUUAUGGGGUUUGGGGGGUUUCGUUAGGUUUCAUUGGGUCUUCGUUGAGUUUCAUUGGGUUUCGUCUUUGGUUUGGGUUCCUUAUGGGGUCUUGGUUGCUUCUAGAUACAUAAAGUGUGAGUUUUGGGGUCGUUUAUGGGGUUUUGGGGGUCAUUUAUGGGGUUUUUGGGGUUUCAUUGAGUUUCGUUGAGUUUUUGUUGGGUUUCGUUGGGUUUCAUCUUUGUUUUGGGCUCCUUUUCGGGUCUUGGUCUCUUCCAAGUCCUUAAAGUGUCAGUUUUGGGGUCAUUUAUGGGGUUUUUGGGUCAUUUAUGGGGUCAUUUAUGGGAUUUGGGGUGUUUUGGGGUGGUUUGAUGGGUUUUCAUUGGGUUUCAUUGGGUUUUUGUUGGGUUUUAUUGGGGUUCUUGACUCAUCCAAGUCCAGAAAGUGUCAGUUUUGGGGUCAUUUAUGGGGUUUUUGGGUCAUUUAUGGGGUCAUUUAUGGGGUUUGGGGGGUUUUGGGGUGGUUUGAUGGGUUUUCAUUGGGUUUCGUUGGGUUUUUGUUGGGUUUCAUUGAGUUUUGUUGGGUUUCGUUGGGUUUUACUGCGGUCUUGGUCUCUUCUAAGUACAUAAAGUGUGACUUUUGGGGUCGUUUAUGGGGAUUUUGGGGUCGUUUAUUGGGUUUUUGGGUCAUUUAUGGGGUCAUUUAUGGGGUUUUGGGGGGUUUCGUUGGGUUUCAUUGGGUCUUCGUUGAGUUUCAUUGGGUUUCGUCUUUGCUUUGGGUUCCUUAUGGGGUCUUGGUUGCUUCUAGGUCCAUAAAGUGUGAGUUUUGGGGUCAUUUGUGGGGUUUUUGGGGUCAUUUAUGGGGUUUUUGGGUCAUUUAUGGGGUUUUGGGGUUUCAUUGAGUUUUGUUGAGUUUUCAUUGGGAUUUUGUUGGGUCUUCGUUGAGUUUUGUUGGGUUUCGUUGGGUUUUUGUUGGGUUUUGACUCCUCCAUAUCCGGAAGGUGUCAGUUUUGGGGUCAUUUAUGGGGUUUUUGGGUCAUUUAGGGGGAUUUUGGGUCAUUUAUGGGGUCAUUUAUGGGAUUUGGGGGGUUUUGGGGUGGUUUGAUGGGUUUUCGUUGGGUUUUUGUUGGGUUUCGUUGGGGUUCUUGACUCCUCCAAGUCCGGAAAGUGUCAGUCCUUUUUGGGCUCAUUUAGGGGGAUUUUGGGUCAUUUAUGGGGUCAUUUAGGGGGUUUUGGGGCAGUACGACGGCAUUCGGUGAGUCUUCGUUGGGUUUCAUUGGGUUUCGUCUUUGCUUUGGGUUCCUUAUGGGGUCCUGGUUGCUUCUAGGUCCAUAAAGUGUCAGUUUUGGGGUCAUUUAUGGGGUUUUUGGGUCAUUUAUUGGGUUUUUGGGUCAUUUAUGGGGUCAUUUGGGGGGUUUUGGGGUGGUUUGAUGGGUUUUCAUUGAGUUUCGUUGGGUUUUGGGAAGAGCGGCUUCAACAGCAAGAGCGGGCAGAGGGGGUCCUCCUCCAAGUCCGGAAAGUUGAAAGGCGACGACCUUCAGACCAUUAAGAAAGAACUGAGUCAGAUCAAGCAAAAAGUCGAUUCCCUCCUCGAAAGCCUCGAGAAGAUCGAAAAGGAACAAAAACAGAAAGGCGAUAAGACGGAGGAGGAAAA
Coturnix japonica (Japanese quail) is the source of this 3397-nucleotide non-coding RNA. The record is from RefSeq and is a predicted model, not a curated record. NCBI's taxonomy places the organism in Eukaryota, Metazoa, Chordata, Aves, Galliformes, Phasianidae.